This 1920-nucleotide ribosomal RNA is filed under the name oral metagenome. RNAcentral describes it as "bacterial LSU rRNA". It matches the Rfam family "Bacterial large subunit ribosomal RNA", at positions 951 to 2876 of the family's 2925-position model. The record is from RNAcentral.
AAACUUCUAAUGCUAUGAGGAAAAUCAUGGAGUGAGACUGCGGGGGCAAGCUUCGUAGUCGAAAGGAUAACAGUCCAGAUUUCUAACUAAGGUCCCUAAGUCGUGACUAAGUGGAAAAAGAGGUGUUUUUGCUAUGACAUUUAGGAGGUUUGCUUAGAAGCAGCAAUCCUUUAAAGAAAGCGUAACAGCUCACUAAACGAGCGAAGAUGCGCUGAAGAUGUAACGGGGCUAAGUCACGCACCGAAGUUGAAAGUCUAUAAUUUUUUUAUAGGCGGUAGAGGAGUGUUCUUUAUUGGGUGAAGGUUUGGUGUAAACUUAAAUUGGACGAUAAAGAAGUAAAAAUGCUAGCAUGAGUAACGACUGUUGAUGAAAAUUCAACAUACCUAAAGCAUAAGGUUUCCUACGCAACGUUCAUCGUCGUAGGGUUAGUCGGGACCUAAGGCUAUUACCGAAAGGUUAUGUCGAUGGAAAGCUGGUUUAUAUUCCAGCACCUAUAUAUUCAAUGAUGUGGUGACGCAUUGGGAUUUGUAAGGGCUUACUAAGGAUGUGAGUUGAGAUUACUAUACGAUUUUGGUUCGCCAAAAGGUUUUGUAUAGGAAAAUCCGUACAAAAUAUAAGUGGAGUUUGAUCUGAAUAAUAUUUUAGGAUAUUAAAUCUUAUAGUUUUGAUGCCGAGAAAAACCACUAAGUGUUAAUGUUUAUAUAGCCCGUACCGAGAUCAGACACAUGUAUGCAGGUGGAGAACACCAAGGUACUCGAGAUAACUAAUGAAUAAGGAACUUGGCAAAUUAGCGGACGUAACUACGGGAUAAGUCCUCCCUUAUAGCAAUAUAAGGGUGCAACUAAAGAAGUGGGGGGAACUGUUUAUCAAAAACACAGCUCUCUGCUAACAUGUAAAUGGAUGUAUAGAGGGUGUUGCCUGUCCAAUGCCAGAAUGUUACGCUCUCUUGUGCAAGCUCGAGAGUUAAGCACUGGUCAAUGACGGCCGUAACUAUGACGGUCCUAAGGUAGCGAAAUUCCUUGUCGGGUAAGUUCCGACCCGCACGAAUGGUACAAUCAUCCCCACACUGUCUUAUUCUUAGACUCGGUGAAAUUACAAUUCCGGUAAAAAUGCCGGAUGGUCGCAGUUAGACGGAAAGACCCCGUGAAGCUUUACUAUAGAUUGAUAUUGUGAUGUAGCAUAUAUUGUUCAGGAUAUGUGGGAGACUUUGAUAUUUCAACGCUAGUUGGGAUGGAGUCAUCCUUGAGAUACCACACUAUUUAUGUCGCAUUACUAACCCCACGAUGUGGGGAACAGUGUCAGUUGGGUAGUUUACCUGGGGCGGGUGCCUCCUAAAAAGUAACGGAGGCGCGCAAAGGUUUGCUUGUUACGGAUGGAAACCGUGAUGAAUGUGUAUUUGCAUAAGCAAGCUUAACUGUGAGACAUACAAGUCAAGCAGAUACGAAAGUAGGCAAAAGUGAUCCGGAUCUUCCGUGUGGAAGGGGAUCCGCUCAACGGAUAAAAGUUACUCCGGGGAUAACAGGCUAAUGGGAUCUAAGCGUUCAUAGCGACGAUCCCGUUUGGCACCUCGAUGUCGGCUCGUCGCAUCCUGGGGCUGUAGAAGGUCCCAAGGGUUGGGCUGUUCGCCCAUUAAAGCGGGACGCGAGCUGGGUUCAGAACGUCGUGAGACAGUUUGGCCCCUAUCUACUGUGACCGUAGACAAUUUGAGAGAUGCUGUCCCUAGUACGAGAGGACCGGGAUGGACUAGCCUCUGGUGAAGCAGUUGUUGGACCUCCAGCAGACCGCUGCGUAGCUACGCUGGGUACAGAUAACCACUGAAAGCAUAUAAGUGGGAAGCUUGUCUCAAGAUUAGAUUGUCCUUCCUAUAUGGAUUAAGACCACCUAGAGACUAUAGGUUAUAUAGGUAUCAUGUGUAAGCUU